UCUCAAUCGAAAAGGCAAUUAAACUCUCAAUUUCGAAAUUAGAGGUACGAUUCUAAAUCUCGUAAUGUGAGUUGUUUUUUCCUCUUUUAAUUUUUAAAUUUCUAAAUUAAAAGUCACUUGUAAAUGAUAGGUUUAGGGUUUUUUGAGCUCUUUCACUUAGGGUUGUUUGAUUAUUGUGUUAAAAAGUUUGAUUAAUGGUUAUUUAAUCGAAAUGGGAAUC
RNAcentral lists this long non-coding RNA (220 nucleotides) under Capsicum annuum. Its description in RNAcentral is "long non-coding RNA (CANN_LNC018011)". The record is from RNAcentral. Lineage: Eukaryota; Viridiplantae; Streptophyta; Magnoliopsida; Solanales; Solanaceae.